AUCCUGGCUCAGAUUGAACGCUGGCGGCAUGCCUUACACAUGCAAGUCGAACGGCAGCACGGACUUCGGUCUGGUGGCGAGUGGCGAACGGGUGAGUAAUGCAUCGGAACGUGCCAUUGAGUGGGGGAUAACGUAGCGAAAGUUGCGCUAAUACCGCAUAUUCUGUGAGCAGGAAAGCAGGGGACCGCAAGGCCUUGCGCUCUUUGAGCGGCCGAUGUCAGAUUAGCUAGUUGGUGAGGUAAAGGCUUACCAAGGCGACGAUCUGUAGCGGGUCUGAGAGGAUGAUCCGCCACACUGGAACUGAGACACGGUCCAGACUCCUACGGGAGGCAGCAGUGGGGAAUUUUGGACAAUGGGGCAACCCUGAUCCAGCCAUGCCGCGUGAGUGAAGAAGGCCUUCGGGUUGUAAAGCUCUUUCGGCCGGGAAGAAAUCGCAUGGGCCAAUACCCUGUGUGGAUGACGGUACCGGAAUAAGAAGCACCGGCUAACUACGUG
RNAcentral lists this ribosomal RNA (495 nucleotides) under uncultured bacterium. RNAcentral's name for it is "bacterial SSU rRNA". It matches the Rfam family "Bacterial small subunit ribosomal RNA", at positions 16 to 507 of the family's 1533-position model. The record is from RNAcentral.